AGUGAACGCUGGCGGCAGGCCUAACACAUGCAAGUCGAACGGCAGCACAGUAAGAGCUUGCUCUUACGGGUGGCGGGUGGCGGACGGGUGAGGAAUACACCGGAAUCUACUUUUUCGUGGGGGAUAACGUAGGGAAACAUACGCUAAUACUGCAUACGAUCUACGGGUGAAAGCAGGGGAUCUUCGGACCUUGCGCGAUUGAAUGAGCCGAUGUCGGAUUAGCUAGUUGGCGGGGGAAAGGCCCACCAAGGCGACGAUCCGUAGCUGGUAUGAGAGGAUGAUCAGCCACACUGGAACUGAGACACGGUCCAGACUCCUACGGGAGGCAGCAGUGGGGAAUGUUGGACAAUGGGCGCAAGCCUGGUCCAGCCAUACCGCGUGGGUGGAGGAGACCUUCGGGUUGUGAAGCCCUUUUGUUGGGAAAGAAAAGCAGCAGGUUAAUACCCCGCUGUUCUGACGGUACCCGAAGAAUAAGCACCGGCUAACUUCGUG
This 492-nucleotide ribosomal RNA is filed under the name uncultured bacterium. Its description in RNAcentral is "partial 16S ribosomal RNA". It matches the Rfam family "Bacterial small subunit ribosomal RNA", at positions 29 to 507 of the family's 1533-position model. The record is from RNAcentral.